CUGCGGAAGGAUCAUUGUCGAAACCUGCAUAGCAGAACGACCCGAGAACCUGUAAAUACCGUCUGGUGUCACAAGGGUUAGGCUUAUGUUUGACCGUUGUGGUGCCUUGUUGAUUUGCCAUCCAUGGUCCCCCUUUGGGGUGUGUCCUGGAUGUCAAAUCAACACAACAACAAACCCCGGCACGGCAUGUGCCAAGGAGAACUUAACUUAAGAAGGGCUUAUGCCAUGCCACCACGUUCGCGAUGGUGUGCAUGACAUGUGGCUUCUCUGUAACCACAAACGACUCUCGGCAACGGAUAUCUCGGCUCACGCAUCGAUGAAGAACGUAGCAAAAUGCGAUACUUGGUGUGAAUUGCAGAAUCCCGUGAACCAUCGAGUUUUUGAACGCAAGUUGCGCCCGAAGCCAUUCGGCCGAGGGCACGUCUGCCUGGGCGUCACGUAUUGCGUCGCCCCCUCAUCGUGCUUCCCUUACAGGGAUACACGGGGUGGGGCGGAUAUUGGUCUCCCGUACCCUAGGUGCGGAUGGCCAAAAUAGGAGUCCCCUUCAUGGACGCACGACAAGUGGUGGUUGACUAAACCUUCGUCUCGUGUCGUGUGUUUUUAGCCGUGUGGGAGGGCAACACAAAAAACCACAACGUGUCGUCU
This 645-nucleotide unclassified non-coding RNA is filed under the name Allopterigeron filifolius. RNAcentral describes it as "sequence contains ITS1, 5.8S rRNA gene, ITS2". The stretch from base 282 to 437 matches the Rfam family "5.8S ribosomal RNA". The record is from RNAcentral. Lineage: Eukaryota; Viridiplantae; Streptophyta; Magnoliopsida; Asterales; Asteraceae.